AGGCAACCAAAUCGGCCGCAGCUGAGAGAUGGUAGAGCUCUCUUGUGUCGCCAAUAACAAGAGCGCUGAGGCUGCCAGUUCCUCUCUUCUACAGAGGUGUGAUGGUGGGAAAGAACAGACUUCUGCCGGAGAGACUUUCUAAUGUGACGGUUUUGCAUUCUGAAUCAGCCAUCAUCAACGCUCUAUGCCGUUUUAAUGAAAUUUCAGUGACAAGUGACAAGUGGUGUUGACUGCCCUCAUCUUCAUUACCUCCUUACAAGGCCUCUGGGAACAUCUAAGUGUGAGCAGAAUGGUUCAAUCCAAGGAGGUCUGUGAUACCUGGAAAGAGCUAUCUGUUAGCAUUCCCAUUCAUCUCAAUGGCAGCUCCUCAGCUGGUGCAGGACCUCCAAGAAUACGCGAUCAGAAAACUGCAAUUUGUUGCCAGGUUGUUUGAGCCAUAAAUGAGGUAAUUGAGGUUUAAAAAAAACUGGAGCAGAUUUUUAUUUUAAUAAAGUAGUUAAUUACUUGAAAAAUAUUAACACAACUGCAAUAAGUGUUAAUAAAUGGAAAGAAUGUGCCAUUUUUGUAGGUAUAAAUUACACUUACUGCAUUUAUAGA
Molecule: long non-coding RNA, 597 nt
Organism: Carassius gibelio (silver crucian carp)
Lineage: Eukaryota; Metazoa; Chordata; Actinopteri; Cypriniformes; Cyprinidae
Exons: 3
Source: RefSeq, a predicted model, not a curated record